This 1673-nucleotide long non-coding RNA is filed under the name Scophthalmus maximus (turbot). RNAcentral describes it as "lncRNA (ENSSMAG00000023714.1)". Lineage: Eukaryota; Metazoa; Chordata; Actinopteri; Pleuronectiformes; Scophthalmidae. The record is from RNAcentral.
CUUCAACCUGGAUCGAUUAGGCUUUCAAUCAAACUUUGAAAGGAUCCAGAACUUAGCUUAACUUAGGAGUCCGGAAACAAAUGUUUUUGAAUUAUUGGUUUACUGCAACUUCCUCUCCUUAGUCAAAGACCAUUACGAAUUUUUGGGAUCGCGUCAAAGCCCACGUUAGCGUUUUACUUACUCAGCGUCAGCCAUUGUUGUGUUUGUAAGAUUCAAAGUUGGAGUAAGCCUCCUGGGUGGUAUGUCUUUGUUCUCUCAUGUUGCAGGUUUUGCCGACUGGACGCUACAGUGACUCACUAUUACGAAACGGGACCGACCGGGCUUUCUGGUUUUAGCAAUCCUAACUUCAAAUCUGGCAACGGCGGAGAAACGUCCAUAAGGAAUCCAACGCUAGAUAAUUACUCACUGGCUGCAAUCUGCUUUUCUCUCAAUGCAAGUUUCUUUUUCAUUUGUUGUGUUAAUUAUCAGUUGUCCUUUAAAUGUGGAUGUAGGUAUAUUCUUUUAUCCAGCUCAUUAUGGUAUACCCCCCUUGAAAUAUGGUGGGGCUAAACCACCAGCUCCGUUGGCAACCAAGCAUAACAAUAACAUUUCAGAAAAGUGACUUGGGGAUAAGAAAGGAGGGGGAAAAAGGACCUACAUCAUAAUAACACAAUGCCUGUGUGGUUCGAAGCAGAACAGCAGUUUCUGUUUCUUAGAUGUUCAGAAGGGAAUAAUUAUCUCGGUGAUGAGAGAGAAUAAUGUAAUUGUAACUGUAAACGCAGUUUUUUUUUUUGUCUCAGCAAAAAAAGCGAGUCUUAGUUAUGAAGAAGGUGGUGUAUGAUUUGCCCGUGUCAGCUGGCCAUGGUGUUGAAUCCCCAGUCGGGAGCUUAGCCAUUCUCAAUUAAAUCCACAACUGAGCACUUUGAUGGUGGAGGGCUGCACUGUGAAUUAGCCUCUAUGUGAAGCUUUUGUAGCUUUGCCACUGGCUGAGUGCACUCUCGCUGACCUCCUUCUCCUCCUCAAGCAAGAGACAGAGAAAAUUGUAAUGAAAAGGCAGCGGUGUCGCAGGGGAAAAAAAAAAAAAGGGGGGGGGGUUAUUAUACAACCACUAUAAUAGAAGACAGUAAAAAGCAAAGUAAAUUAUAGGAUGUUGCAUUCUUUUAUAAAGUCAUACUGACAUGUGGGAAGUUGUCAUCAGCAGGAAGAGGUGUUUAAUUUUCAUAAUUACUAUUAUAAGGCGGCGGGGUACUCAACCUUUACAGCCUGUGUAACAGUAUUACAUUUUCUGUUUCUGCACAGUAUUUUUUUAUUUCUAAGAUGCUUUUGGAUUCCAGAUUUAUCCUCCACGUAAUCGUCUUGCCAUACUCGUGUAAGAUACCAGUGAAUAUUUUGGAUGGAUUUGUCAGGAUUCCUUGCUUAUCUUCAGUUUGUCGCUUGGGUUGUGAGUACAAAACGAUGACUCCAUAGUUUUGUUUAAUUCAAGUCGGUUUUAUCUAUGUAGCGCUAAAUCAUAACAGUGGCUAUCUCUACAUAUAGAGCAGAUCAAAACCUUGGUUCAUAAUAUAUUAGGAUUGGUAAUGCAUACACUCCAGGACUAAAGGUAUUGCUUAUUUGAAACACUAUUGAUGGAAAACUUACAGAACUGUCAGGAAAUAUUAAUAAAGUUUUUAACACUUCUUGUCAGGUUUGAGUUU